RNAcentral lists this long non-coding RNA (1630 nucleotides) under Equus caballus (horse). Its description in RNAcentral is "lncRNA (ENSECAG00000053279.1)". Lineage: Eukaryota; Metazoa; Chordata; Mammalia; Perissodactyla; Equidae. The record is from RNAcentral.
GGGCGGGGAGGGGAGGGGAGGGAGAGAGGAAGAAGGGGUGAGAGGGAGAAACCUGCCGCCGCUCGCCGCCUCUUUGUCUGCUCCGGGACUUGGAACAAAAGGGGGAACUCUGAUGAACUCUCUCUCCUCCCCUCUCCCCCGGACGCCCGCCCGGGUAUCUCCCUCUCCCAACUUUGCCGCCGCGACUUUCUCCGCUGUCAGGCCACACAAAAGUGUCCUAGCGCCUCGCAGACUGCAACGAGGGGCAUGUCUCUUAAAAGUGCGACGAAGUGGAGAAGAAGGUAUAAUUAUUAUUAUCAGCAUCUAGAAAGCGUCGUGCGGUGCGUUGACCUUCGCCAUACUGCAUUGUUCUUACUGGAUCUUUCUAUCAGUGAACAUUAUGGAAGUACCAGUGCAACAUCAAGUCAUUCCUGGAUGAAAAGUUAUCAGACUUGUUCUUUUGGAGUUACUUAAAAGUUAAAAUGUCAGGAUUUUUGAUGAUGCCUUCUCUAAAUGGAUUACUACAAUUUGAUCACUGGGAAUUCUCCGCCUUAAAGAAGGUAAAAUCAUCUGUUGGAGUUAUUCCAUUAUCCUCAUCCUGUGGAGAUCUUGAUUUGGAAAUUCUUGACAAAAUCUACAGUGUCUGACUUACUAUCAAUGUUACCAACUGAAGGUUAUGAAAAGCGUCAUAAAAAUCAUCUUCAUAUCAAUUUUUGAGUUCUGCAAUACCUAGUUGUUGAAAUAAUAUUGUAAAAUAAGAGGAAAUGACAAAUGCCAAGAAGCAGCUUGCUAUGGGACUGAAGCAACUGAUAAAGCAAAUAGGAAAGACUAAAAAAGGAUUCAGACAUUGCUGAAAACAGCAGGAGGUGAGCUUUGAGCCCCUCACACUCUAGUCGAAGGAUCCAGAAGGUUUGACAGAGGAGAAAAUAUCUUCUGAGACCUCCUGUUCAUUUUGUGCCUAAGUAUGUUGUUUUGUAGUUAAACCUGGAUGUUGAUUAAACAAACAAACAAAAAAGUGUGGGAAACUUCCAAUAAUCAACUUAUUUUCCAGUCAUUUCUCUCUCCUGUUCUCUGUAGAGGUUGUUCUAACCUUCCUUCCUUCCUUCAUUUCCAACUUCCUACCCUGCCAACUUGCCGAAGAGAGACUUGAGACAUCAACUCCCUCCCCUUCUGUCUCCACGCCCACCCAAUUAAACUGCACUUACCCUCCGUGUCUUUGCCGUGAAUGGGAGCCAAGCCACUCCCUCAGUCGCACUCAUGCCUUCUUCCCAUGCUCCAGAACCCACAUCAGUACCCACUUCUCUUUACCAUCUACCAUUCCUGCUGCUUUCCCUUCAUUCUGACCCCUUAAUUCUGUUUUUCACCUGCUCACUCUUAAAUCUUUUUUUCUGUCUUUUUGAUUGAGAUAUAACUCAUAUGUCUUAAAAUUCUCCAUUUCGACCUAUAUAAUUUAGGACUCUAGUAUAUUUACAAAGUGGCAAAACUAUCACGGUGAUCUAAUUCCAGAAUAUUAUUGUCGCCACAGAAACCAACCCCAUCAUACCCAUUAGCAGUCUCUCUCCAUUCCCCCUCCCCCCAGCCCCUGGCAGCUGCUAAUCUGCCUUCUGUCUGCAUGAAUCUGAUUAUUCUGAAAAUUUCAUAUAAAUGGAAC